GUGCGGUCAAAUGUCAUAAAAAUUUAAAUUUAAUAAACUGCGAUCAGUUGUCAUCACAAUUGUAAUAAAAAUCGUUUGGUCGUGUUGACGCCGCUUGCCCGUUAUAAAAGCCACACAAAGCUUUACAGUUGUUUAAAUAAUACAUCGUUGAUCUCGCCUUUGACCUCGACCAACUGUAUCUUAGGUGUGUAUCUCUCUCGUUAUCUGGAUACUAUAUUCAUAAUAUUCGUAAUUCUGUCGUCGUGAGAGCCAUUCAUCUUUUCGUACAUUAUUUUUUCAUAAAACCAUCCAUUUUGACACAGUCGACUAAGUUCCUCUCAGCUGUCUGUUGCAGAUAAGAGUCAGGUUAAAGAAUCGAUUUUUAUGUCUGGUAAAAAUAUUUGGGUUCAGGGCAAUUAGCUGAUUCGGUGCAUCAAAGUUUGCAAAGGAGACGCUACGAUAAAUCACUAUUGCUGAAAGCACUAUAGUGAUUUAUAAAUCGCACUUCCAGCAUGACAGAUUUAAAAUUAUUAAAUUCCCCACGAAAAAAAAAAACGUCAGCUAAACCAAAAAUAGAAUAAUGUGACAAUGCCAUUAAACCGAGAGCCGACCUCCAUCAGGAGUACUAUAUGGGCUUUAAUUGACACUCUCAAUCUAACGAAUUUCCUGUUCCUAGAAGCCAUUCUUGAUUCGACAACCAUUUACUUUCAAUACGUAAUGUAGCAAUAACUUAUUAUAUCACUUAUCAUCUCCUUACGUAAUUCAAUUGCUCUCCUCUACCAUCAGAUCCAACAGUAGUAAUAAUUCCUGUUUAACCGGCAUUGUUCGUGAGCAUCUAAUUACAGUCGAGUAGAAUAAAUCGUAACCCCGCGAUG
Tribolium castaneum (red flour beetle) is the source of this 854-nucleotide long non-coding RNA. RefSeq lists it as uncharacterized. The transcript is spliced from 3 exons. Lineage: Eukaryota; Metazoa; Arthropoda; Insecta; Coleoptera; Tenebrionidae. The record is from RefSeq and is a predicted model, not a curated record.